RNAcentral lists this ribosomal RNA (440 nucleotides) under uncultured bacterium. Its description in RNAcentral is "partial 16S ribosomal RNA". It matches the Rfam family "Bacterial small subunit ribosomal RNA", at positions 338 to 795 of the family's 1533-position model. The record is from RNAcentral.
CCUACGGGUGGCAGCAGUGGGGAAUAUUGCACAAUGGGGGAAACCCUGAUGCAGCGACGCCGCGUGAGGGAUGAAGUAUUUCGGUAUGUAAACCUCUAUCAGCAGGGAAGAAAAUGACGGUACCUGACUAAGAAGCCCCGGCUAACUACGUGCCAGCAGCCGCGGUGAUACGUAGGGGGCAAGCGUUAUCCGGAUUUACUGGGUGUAAAGGGAGCGUAGGCGGUUUGGCAAGGCAGAGGUGAAAGCCCGGGGCUCAACCCCGGGACUGCUUUUGAAACUGGAGAACUGGAGUGCAGGAGAGGUAAGUGGAAUUCCUGGUGUAGCGGUGAAAUGCGUAGAUAUUAGGAGGAACACCAGUGGCGAAGGCGGCUUGCUGGACGAUAAAUGACGCUGAGGCUCGAAAGCGUGGGGAGCAAACAGGAUUAGAUACCCGUGUAGUC